CAGUCGCCACGGUAAUACGUAGGGUGCAAGCGUUAAUCGGAAUUACUGGGCGUAAAGCGUGCGCAGGCGGUUAUAUAAGUCAGAUGUGAAAUCCCCGGGCUCAACCUGGGAACUGCAUUUGAGACUGUAUGACUAGAGGGUGUCAGAGGGGGGUAGAAUUCCACGUGUAGCAGUGAAAUGCGUAGAUAUGUGGAGGAAUACCGAUGGCGAAGGCAGCCCCCUGGGAUAACACUGACGCUCAUGCACGAAAGCGUGGGGAGCAAACAGGAUUAGAUACCCCAGUAGUCCCUGUCUCUUAUAC
This 301-nucleotide ribosomal RNA is filed under the name uncultured bacterium. RNAcentral describes it as "partial 16S ribosomal RNA". It matches the Rfam family "Bacterial small subunit ribosomal RNA", at positions 509 to 807 of the family's 1533-position model. The record is from RNAcentral.